RNAcentral lists this unclassified non-coding RNA (613 nucleotides) under Hevea brasiliensis (rubber tree). The record is from RNAcentral. Lineage: Eukaryota; Viridiplantae; Streptophyta; Magnoliopsida; Malpighiales; Euphorbiaceae.
UAUUUAUACAUAUUUUUUGAAUAUACAUUUUAUUACUUGUCUCAUUGGACAGCCCAAGAUGUCCAAUGCAGGAUGAAGGGUCUGAAGAAAAAGGACUAUACAAAACAGGAAUCCACUUUUGUCAUGUCCAUUUGUGCCCCAAAUAGAAAAAAGGAAACUUUCUUGUUCGGUCCAAUCUAGUCCAUUGGACCAAACACACUUGAUCACAGACAAGACAGAAAUCCUCCAGUGUUUCUCUCCUGUAUGUAGGCGGGUUGCUAUGCAUGCAUUUACUUGUUUUCUGAAGGAUGAGGCUAAGGCAUUACAAUAUUGAAUGUGCAAUGCGUCAGGAAACAAAUGCAAAUGUGUAUUGUCCUUGAAAAUACAGAAGCCUCGGUCAAGAGACUGAACCAUUUUAUUAUUGAAGAUUCCAUGAGCCUGAAUUGACUGUUUCAAAGAUCAAACUUGAAUAUGUAAUGUCUUUGAUUUUGUCUUUAAUUGUAAUAUGGACGGUUUCUUCAAAAUCAACUUUAAUGUGAAACAUCUAACACCAAGUAGUAAAUGCUUCAAAAGCUGACAUAAACAUAAAAAGAGUUGAACUAAGCAACUUCAUAUCCAACCUGAGCAGUAAGAG